RNAcentral lists this long non-coding RNA (1423 nucleotides) under Marmota monax (woodchuck). The record is from RNAcentral. Lineage: Eukaryota; Metazoa; Chordata; Mammalia; Rodentia; Sciuridae.
CAUUUCUUCUGAUUAAUUUUGGUUGAAGUUUGCAUUUCUGAUACAAGAAUAGCUUUCUCUGCUUGUUUUCCAGUACCAUUUGCAUAGUAUGUCUUUUCCCAUCAUUUCACCUUCAGUCUUUAGAUGUCUUUCACUAUGAGAUAAAGAUAGAAUAUUGUUGGGUCUUGUUUUUUUAUUAAAAUCUGCGAUUCUAUGUCUUUGAUUGAAGAUUUUAGAGCAUUUAUAUUCAUUUUAUUUUAGAGAGAUGAUUUUCAUAUUCUGGAUUUUUUAUUUAUUUCUAAUAUUUAAAUCAGAUUUAAUUCUCUGUUAAUUAUCUAUUCUUCUAGUGUAAUUCCUCCUUAUGCUGGUUUUCAUUUCUUCUUCAUGAAUUAUUUCAUCAAAUAAGUUUUAUAGCAGGAUUUUUGGAUAUGGAUUCUUUUAGCUUCUGUUUAUUGCAGAAGAUUUUUAUUCACCUUCAAUAUUGAAGCUCAAUAUUGCUGGGCAUAAUAUUCUUGGCUGGCCUCCAUUUUCCUUCAGAGCUUGGUAUAUAUUUUUCUAAUCCCUCCUAGUUUUUAGGGUUUGGGUUGAGAAAUCAGUUGAAAUCUAGACUGGUUUACCUCUAAAUUGAUGAGCUACUUUUCUCUUCAGCUUUUAAAAAUUCUAUCCUUCUUUUAUAUGUUAGGCAUUUUCAUUAUAAUGUGUCUUGGAGUAGAUAGGUUGUGAUUUUGUGUAUUUAUAGUCCUAUAUAACACUUGUAUUUGAAUUUCCAUCUCAUUCUUAAUGUUUGGAAAAUUUUCUGAUAUUAUUUCAUUGAAAAGAUUUUAAAUCUCUUUAGCUUGAACUUCAGAGCCAUUAUCCUCCCUGGUGCUUCUUAAAUUUUGCUUCUUGAUGUUAUCCAAAAUUUUUAAAUAUGCUGCUCAUAUUCUUUUAGCAUCUUUUAUUUUUGGCCAACUUUAUUUCAAGUUUAUAUAUUUUGUCUUCAAGGCCUGAAAAUGUAUCUUCAAAGUGGUUUAUUCUAUUGGUAAUGCUUUUCAUUGGAUUUUUAAUUUGGUUUAUUGAGUCUUUCAUUUCAACGUCAGAUUUUUUCAGAAUGUAUAUCUCUUUUAUUAAGUGAUCUUUGACUUCCUGUAUUUUCUUCUUUAAUUUUACUUCUUACAUCUUCUUUUAGCUCAUGGAACAUUUAGCUAUGAAUUUCCUAAAUUCUUUCUCUGACAAUUUCCCCACUGUAGCAUUAAUGCAGUCAGUUGUUUAAGCAUUAUGGGUUGUGUGGGAUGAUUCAUUCCCCUUCUUUUUCACAUUGUUUUUAUGUCUACCCAUCUAUUGGGAUAGUUUUUAUUUCUUCUUUUAAGCAAGGGACUACUUUAUGAGCUCUUUUUCUCUUCAGAGACCUGUGUUAGUUGAAUAUCCAGAUAUUGAUACUUUAAGUCAGUUUGUGACAUAUGCU